This is a long non-coding RNA of Clupea harengus (Atlantic herring), 1480 nucleotides long. The record is from Ensembl. Lineage: Eukaryota; Metazoa; Chordata; Actinopteri; Clupeiformes; Clupeidae.
GGGUGGGGGUGGGGGGGUCCAUUUAGAUGUGAGGAUUUGUGUGUGUGUGUGUGUGUGUGUGUGUGUGUGUGUGUGUGACUGUGGUCUUUCUUCACUACACAUAUUCUUAGAACAUCUGCGUAGUACAAUGCAUCAUUUUUAGCUGUGUGUGUGGCACGUAAGGUUUGAGUGUGUGCAUGUGUGUGUGUGUGUCUGUGUGUGUGUUUGUGUGUGUGUCUGUAUCUGGUGUGCAUGUGUCACAAAAUAGCCAAAACCUUCCAUCCCAGCGUGUAGACAUCCUCCGUUUCCAGGGCAACAGGAGACGAAUGAGGAAUCUUGUAAAGGACAAGCGUUCUCUGAAGCGUUGAAGUUAAACAUAGAAUGCCUGUUGUAAUUGAUGGGAAGCAGCAAACAGGUCAGGACAAUACCGCAGUGUGUGUGGGUGUGUGUGUUUGUGUGGGUGUGUGUGAUGAGAGAUAGAACACGUGCACAUCUACAAAAAAAGCCUAUGCUGGAAUGAAAGAGUGUUUUCUUAAAUCAAAAGAGACAAACUUCUGGCAGACCUGCUUUAAGCUCUUAAUAGACUUUUACUCCGUGAUCUCAGUGAAACACAACAGCUAUAUGUGUGUGUGUGUGUGUGUGUGUGUGUGUGUGUGUGUGUGUGUGUGUGUGUGUGUGUGUGUGCCUGUGUGUGUGAGUGAGUGUGUGUGUGUGUGCGUGCGCAGCAGUUUAAUGUAAAAUAGCAUUACAAGCACAGAGUUCUUCCGUAAGCUCAGAGCUUUUGAAACAGCAUAUACCAACUAAUCUCAAAUGCAGCUUUGAACUUAUCAAGCACAUAACAACGCAGAACCUUUGCACCUCGUUUACCUCUGGAAGCGUCAAGCCCCUUGAUGUGGAACUACAGGGUACUCCUCGACGAGCCCCUAUCUCACACUAACACUCCAUGCGCUGUUCUCCAGGUCUGUGUUCCCCUGUAAAAUCCCCAACAAAUAGUUUAGAGAUAUUCUUUUUUUUUGGUAAUAAUGUGCUCCAUCAUUGUAAGUCAAGGAUUGGUUUGUCCUUGAAGUGUAUAAGAAAUUGUGUUUGGAGUUGGAUUUUGAAUAAAUGUGUGCUUAAUAGCUUUUAAUUUUGAAUUUUGAAUAUUUUGAAUAUAAGUAAUGGGUAUUUUCUCAAAACUCUAAACUUCUUGAUUUGAAUGAAGGUCAGAUUGGUUGGGAAAAAUGUUUUAACUCGGGUUACUGCUAGAGAGUAUCCCUAAUUGUGUAUUAGUAUAUUCUUCCAUAUGUGAAUGUGUAUGCUUUUCCUCUUUUGUAAUUAUUUUUUGGGGGUUUUGUUUGUAGUUAUUUUUUUGUUUGGGAUUCAUUAACUCCCGUAUCGAUCAUGUGUUGACGCACAGGCAGGGAACUGAAUAUUCCAAAUGAAUGCAAAUAAAUGAAAUUAACAUAAUACUUUUUUCUUGACCAUUCAUUUUUUUAUAGCCUAGGGGGUUAUCCUAUGGGGU